GCCGGCAGUGGCAACUCGCUGGGGUCGCCUUCCACAUCUUGGAAGCUUUGUUCUUUCACUCUUUGUAAUAAAUCUUGCUGCUGCUCACUAUUUGGGUCCACCCUGCUUUUAUGAGCUGUAACACUCACCGCAGAAGUCUGCAGCUUCACUCCUGAAGCCAGCAGGACCAUGAGCCCACCAGGAGGAGCGAACAACUCCAGACGCCCCGCUUUAAGAGCUGUAAUACUCACCGCGAAGGUCUGCAGCUUCACUCCUGAGCCAGCGAGACCAUGAACCCACCAGAAGGAAGAAACUCCGAACACAUCCGAACAUCAGAAGGAACAAACUCCAGACACGCCACCUUAAGAGCUAUAACACUCACCGCGAGGGUCCGCGGCUUCAUUCUUGAAGUUAGUGAGACCAAGAACCCACCAAUUCCGGACACAAUAGUACUUACGGCCUAGACUGCUUCUCACGUUUGCUUAAGAGACACAGAGUACUGUAGCUCUUCCUGGAGAGGUUUACAGAAAGCCAUGUUCAGACCACUGGGAUUUGUGAUUCUCCUCUGGCUAGGGCUGGUUUACAUGCUCCCUCCAUGGUGGGGAGUGGGGUGUCAGCUAAAUUUGGUCCAGUGUUCCUUUCUGCUCUAACAGGACGGCGCUGAGUUUAAUGUCUCACAAUUGCUGUGGUCUCUCUCUCUCCCCCAGCAUCCAGAGAUGCUUUCCACACCACGCUGCCAUGUGGGGAAGGGGAGAGAAUCCUCCACAAUUCAGGACUGUUUUUUUUCUGUCUCUUCAGUGCAUUUUUCAGCGAUAUGAAGCUAAAGACAGAUACUACGAGUCCUCACCUGAUAACUGGUUCUUAUGAAGGUGUUUUUUCUGUGUAGAGAGUUGUUAAUUGGUGUCCUUGUUGAAGGGAUGAUGGGUGAAGCAUUCUAUUCCUCCGUCUUGCUGUGCCUCCUCCCUCUCAAUGUUAUCAAACCAUUGAGAGAAACAGAACUUUCCUCAAAGCCAAGAAACAGCUUUCAAAAGGAAGUUUCCCAAAAACUCUUCUAAAAGUACCAGCAUAUCUUCAAACCAAAGUUUAAAUGAAAAAAGAAUAUGAAUCAAGGAAACCUCUAGUUAAUAGAGAGAGUGAGAAAAGAACAUACUGAA
Molecule: long non-coding RNA, 1133 nt
Filed under: Homo sapiens (human)
Lineage: Eukaryota; Metazoa; Chordata; Mammalia; Primates; Hominidae
Description: HSALNT0110236
Source: RNAcentral